This is a long non-coding RNA of Cloeon dipterum, 387 nucleotides long. RefSeq lists it as uncharacterized. The record is from RefSeq and is a predicted model, not a curated record. Lineage: Eukaryota; Metazoa; Arthropoda; Insecta; Ephemeroptera; Baetidae. The transcript has 3 exons.
CGUGCAGUGUGUCAGAGCUUCACCAAUACUCAACAUGACAACUUUCACGCUUGUUUCAAUCGUGUCCCUCCUUAUUGUGGCUGUUUGUGGCCAGGAAUCUGCAGACUGCACUUCGAAAUGCCAGUGCAGCGACGUUGAAAACAAAACCGAGUUUUGCGCCAUCAAAGGCUUCACGAGGAAAACAUUCAGCAGCUCUUGUGAAAUGGUUUGCUACAACUGUCAGAAGAAAACAAACUUCAAAUACUUCAGCACUGGAAAGUGCCCUGCUAAUUUAAACAAGAGACAGAGACAAAACAAACAAAAGGGAUCUCAAGGUGAAAAUGCAAAAAAUUAACAUUGUUUUGAAGCAUGGGAUUUCAUGGAUAAAUAAAUGAAAUUCAGCCAGUA